RNAcentral lists this ribosomal RNA (160 nucleotides) under Chlamydomonas incerta. RNAcentral describes it as "L6 ribosomal RNA". Lineage: Eukaryota; Viridiplantae; Chlorophyta; Chlorophyceae; Chlamydomonadales; Chlamydomonadaceae. The record is from RNAcentral.
AUGUCAUAGGUAGCAGAACGUUCUGGAAAUAUAACGCUGAAAACAGUACCAGAAUUGAUGCUGCUAACAUAAGUAACACUAAAUGGAUAACAUGGCCGUAAGCCCAAGGUUUUGCACAACAAACAGUGAAUACGGUUUUUACAAUAAUUUAUAUACAUAC